Molecule: long non-coding RNA, 1269 nt
Filed under: Fragaria vesca (wild strawberry)
Lineage: Eukaryota; Viridiplantae; Streptophyta; Magnoliopsida; Rosales; Rosaceae
Description: long non-coding RNA (FVES_LNC000060)
Source: RNAcentral
UUUNUUUUUUUUUUUUUUUGGGCAUUUGGACCUGAAGAGAGUCCAAUAAUUUCAUUUUUUUUUAAUUAAUUUAUUUUUCUGCUUACGAUGUAAAAAAGUUUGAAGCGAAGCGGACCACAAGGCAGCCCACACCUUCUGUCUGACCUCCGCUUUUCAUUGCGGUACGUGCGAAACGUGUGUAGCCCAGCGAAUAUUGUGGGCCCACAUGGUGGUUUUGCUUAAUUUGCUCUCUCUCUCUUUAUUUGGUUGCACAGCCGUGAGCCCAAUGAUGUGUCACCAUAUUUGGAAAUGUCAACCAGGUAGAAAAAAAAGAAAACAGGUUUUCAUAAUUAAGAAAUUGAGAUGAUGGAUUGCCAUGAGUCCAUGACCAAUAAAGCCGAAACAAAAACUUGUUUUUAGUGAUUGUACAGUUUAAAGACUUUUUUUAGAAAUCAAAUUAGUUUAUGACGUUGAUGAUGAGAAAAAGUUGUACAUGCGAGUUUGAAGGACGUAUAUAAAUAAUAAGACGUAGACAACUUGAAAGCUAUCUUUACAUGCAAUGCGUUUGAGAAAUAAUAUAUUUUCCGUUGCAAAAUUUGUAAGGUCAGAAGUUCAUUUUGUGUUGAGAUGAACUUCUUAUUUAUGUGAUUGAAGGAUCAAGGAUGUGGUUAGUUCCUUGGAUAUUGAAGAAGAUUAAUCGAAUAAGAAAAGUGUUUCAAACAUAUCUGCUAGGGUUCUAGAGAUAGUACCCUCAUUCAGUGCUACAGAGUUUGAAAUUGACUCGUUCUUUUUAUAAUGAAUUAAUUUUUCAAUAGGAAAUUUCAAGAAUUAAAGCCCUGAUAGUAUUUUUCUUCAAAUUGAGGUUUCAUGGGUAAACAAAUUGUCGUGUUCUUUAUUUUUCGUUUCUCCUAUUUGCAUGAUUGUUGGAAGAAAAAAGGUGAGGAUGCUGAGAAAGACGGCUAUGGAGGAAACACUUGCAGAGCGUUGUUUUUCUCCCUCUUCACAGUACUUUAGGCAUAAGAAAUAUGAGCAAAGGACGACUUCAAAAAGAAGAAAUAUGAGCAAACUAAGGACAUUCAUUUUAAUUAGUUAUUCUCAAGGCAUAAUAACUAAUGAAAUCCUUCUAAUGAGGACCCUUAAGUUGAGGACUAGUUGAGGACUUUUUGGCUUAUCCCACUUUUCGAUCUUAUAUCCACAUCUUAACCGUUCAGUUUAUAGGUAUUUAUGAGUAGAUCAUUUCUGUAAAUUUUCAGCCAUAUUGAAAAUCGUUAAGACAUUCAUAAGUGUGAU